This 390-nucleotide ribosomal RNA is filed under the name uncultured bacterium. RNAcentral describes it as "bacterial SSU rRNA". It matches the Rfam family "Bacterial small subunit ribosomal RNA", at positions 110 to 518 of the family's 1533-position model. The record is from RNAcentral.
GUAACGCGUGGAUAACCUACCAUAUACAGGGGGACAACAGUUGGAAACGACUGCUAAUACCGCAUAAGCGCACAGUGCCGCAUGGCACGGUGUGAAAAACUCCGGUGGUAUAUGAUGGAUCCGCGUCUGAUUAGCUAGUUGGUGAGGUAACGGCCCACCAAGGCAACGAUCAGUAGCCGACCUGAGAGGGUGACCGGCCACAUUGGGACUGAGACACGGCCCAAACUCCUACGGGAGGCAGCAGUGGGGAAUAUUGCACAAUGGGCGAAAGCCUGAUGCAGCGACGCCGCGUGAGCGAAGAAGUAUUUCGGUAUGUAAAGCUCUAUCAGCAGGGAAGAAAAUGACGGUACCUGACUAAGAAGCCCCGGCUAACUACGUGCCAGCCGCCGC